AGUGAACGCUGGCGGUAGGCCUAACACAUGCAAGUCGAACGGCAGCACAGUAAGCGCUUGCUCUUACGGGUGGCGAGUGGCGGACGGGUGAGGAAUACAUCGGAAUCUACUUUUUCGUGGGGGAUAACGUAGGGAAACUUACGCUACUACCGCAUACGUCCUACGGGUGAAAGCAGGGGUUCUACGGACCUUGCGCGAUAGAUUGAGCCGAUGUCGGAUUAGCUAGUUGGCGGGGUAAAGGCCCACCAAGGCAACGAUACGUAGCUGGUCUGAGAGGAUGAUCAGCCACACUGGAACUGAGACACGGUCCAGACUCCUACGGGAGGCAGCAGUGGGGAAUAUUGGACAAUGGGCGCAAGCCUGAUCCAGCCAUACCGCGUGGGUGAAGAAGGCCUUCGGAUUGUAAAACCCUUUUGUUGGGAAAGAAAAGCAGCAGGUUAAAACCCGGCUGUUCUGACGGUACCCAAAGAAUAAGCACCGGCUAACUUCGUG
RNAcentral lists this ribosomal RNA (492 nucleotides) under uncultured bacterium. Its description in RNAcentral is "partial 16S ribosomal RNA". It matches the Rfam family "Bacterial small subunit ribosomal RNA", at positions 29 to 507 of the family's 1533-position model. The record is from RNAcentral.